Long non-coding RNA from Rhagoletis pomonella (apple maggot), 435 nucleotides. RefSeq lists it as uncharacterized. The transcript has 2 exons. Lineage: Eukaryota; Metazoa; Arthropoda; Insecta; Diptera; Tephritidae. The record is from RefSeq and is a predicted model, not a curated record.
UGCAGCGAUGUCCUGCGGCAAAUCAACAAAGCACUAAACGAACGGAUAUCGAGAGUCAGAGAGCAGCUCUGGGCAACGUUGCAGACAAAACAAAGGGAUAACGGAUGAAAGAAUAAUGCUUUUCGAUGUUGGGGAGAGCAGAAGAGACAAUGGCGGUGGCAGUAGCAAUAUUAUUUGCCAAAGAAGAAGUAUCACACAAGGGGAUAAAUAGAAAAUAGAAAAUGCUGCAGUAAUGAUGGUAAAAAGCUUCGUGUGAACGGAAGUUAAAGACAACAAAAGGUAGAAGUUUCAAGUGUAUAAAUACAAUGGAAUAUGGGUUUACCAGCUGUGAGGCAGCCUUGGCUUUUCUAAUAUUCGCUUCCAACCUUAGGCCACAUUCAAGGACUUAGCAGAUAAUACACAGGAAUAGAGAUUUAACGAGUACGAUAAGAUUUG